Long non-coding RNA from Myxocyprinus asiaticus (Chinese sucker), 2392 nucleotides. RefSeq lists it as uncharacterized. The transcript is spliced from 2 exons. Lineage: Eukaryota; Metazoa; Chordata; Actinopteri; Cypriniformes; Catostomidae. The record is from RefSeq and is a predicted model, not a curated record.
CAGAUGCUGCAUAAAUAUAAACACACAAAUAAGCACAAUUCAAGCUUUAUAUAUGUUAAACAGUGAUUAUGUUUGAUAAGUCAAACUUAUGUUGAUUGUCACUGUGGUAAUAUCAUGUUUUAGACAUGUAUCAUGGUAAUACCGCUGUAUUUUAACAUUUACUAUGCUUUUUAGAUAUGUACCAUGGUAAUACCGUUUUUUGAGACGUUAAAUGUUACAACGGUAAUGACACGUCUUUGAGACAUGUUACAAUGGUCAUGACGUUUUUUGUUGUUGUUGUGAUGUUACAAUGGUAAUGACAAGUUUUUUGAGACAUGUUACAAUGGUCAUGACGUUUUUUUGUUGUUGUGAUGUUACAAUGGUAAUGACACGUUUUUGAGACGUUACAACGAUAAUUACACAUUUUUUGAGAUGUUACAACGGUAAUGACACGUUUUUUGAGACAUGUUAAAUGUUACAAUGGUAAUGACAUGUCUUUGAGACAUGUUACAAUGGUCAUGAAGUUUUUUUGUUGUUGUGAUGUUACAAUGGUACUGACACGUUUUUUUGUGAUGUUACAAUGGUAAUGACACGUUUUUUGAGACGUUAAAUGUUACAAUGGUAAUGACACGUCUUUGAGACAUGUUACAAUGGUCAUGACAUGUUUUUUUUGUUGUUGUGAUGUUACAACGGUAAUGGCACGUUUUUUUGUGAUGCUACAAUGGUAAUGACACGUUUUUUUGAGAUGUUAAAUGUUACAACGGUAAUGACACAUUUUUUGAGACAUGUUACAAUGGUAAUGACACGUUUUUUGAGACGUUACAAUGAUAAUUACACAUUUUUUGAGAUGUUACAAUGGUAAUGACACGUUUUUUGAGACAUGUAACAAUGGUAAUGACACGUUUUUGAGACGUUACAACGAUAAUUACACAUUUUUUGAGAUGUUACAAUGGUAAUGACACGUUUUUUGAGACAUGUUAAAUGUUACAAUGGUAAUGACACGUUUUUUGAGACAUGUUACAACGGUAAUGACAUGUUUUUUGAGACAUGUUAAAUGCUACAAUGGUAAUGACACGUUUUUUUGAGACAUGUUACAAUGGUAAUAACACGUUUUAUGAGACAUGGUAAAUGUUACAAUGGUAAUGACAUGUUUUUUGAGACGUUACAAUGGUAAUGACGCUUUUUUGAGACAUGUUAAAUGUUACAACGGUAAUGACACGUUUUUUGAGACAUGUUACAAUGGUAAUAACACGUUUUAUGAGACAUGGUAAAUGUUACAAUGGUAAUGACAUGUUUUUUGAGAUGUUACAAUGGGAAUGACACGUUUUCUGAGACGUUAUAAUGGUAAUGACAUGUUUUUUGAGACGUUACAAUGGUAAUGACGCUUUUUUGAGACAUGUUAAAUGUUACAAUGGUAAUGACAUGUUUUUUGAGACAUGUUACAACGGUAAUGACAUGUUUUUUGAGACAUGUUACAACGGUAAUGACACAUUUUUUGAGAUGUUACAACGGUAAAGACAUGUUUUUUGAGACAUGUUAAAUGUUACAACGGUAAUGACAUGUUUUUUGAGACAUGCUACAACGGUAAUGACACGUUUUUUGAGACAUGUUACAAUGGUAAUGACAAGUUUUUUGAGACAUGUUACAACAGUAAUGCCACAUGUUUUUUGAGACAUGUUACAACGGUAAUGACACGUUUUUGAGACAUGUUACAACAGUAAUGACAAUUUUUUUGAGAUGUUACAACGGUAAAGACAUGUUUCUUGAGACAUGUUAAAUGUUACAACGGUAAUGACAUGUUUUUUGAGACAUGUUAAAUGUUACAACGGCAAUGACACGUUUUUUGAGACAUGUUACAAUGGUAAUGACAAGUUUUUUGAGACAUGUUACAACAGUAAUGCCACAUUUUUUGAGACGUUACAAUGGUAAUGACAAGUUUUUUGAGACAUGUUACAAUGGUAAUGACAUGUUUUUUGAGACAUGUUACAAUGGUAAUGACACGUUUUUUGAGACGUUACAAUGGUAAUGACGUUUUUUGAGACGUUACAAUGGUAAUGACACGUUUUUUGAGACAUGUUACAAUGGUAAUGACAAGUUUUUUGAGACAUGUUACAACAGUAAUGCUACAUUUUUUGAGACAUUACAAUGGUAAUGACAAGUUUUUUGAGACAUGUUACAAUGGUAAUGACGUUUUUUGAGACAUGUUACAAUGGUAAUGACACGUUUUUUGAGUCGUUAUAAUGGUAAUGAUAUGUUUUUUGAGACAUGUUACAGAGGUAAUGACACGUUUUUUGAGACAUGUUACAACAGUAAUGCCACAUUUUUUGAGACAUUACAAUGGUAAUGACACGUUUUUUGAGACAUGUUACAACAGUAAUGCCACAUUUUUUGAGACAUGUUACAACAGUAAUGC